Molecule: long non-coding RNA, 3710 nt
Filed under: Homo sapiens (human)
Lineage: Eukaryota; Metazoa; Chordata; Mammalia; Primates; Hominidae
Description: non-protein coding LINC00662:64
Source: RNAcentral
CAAACUCAGUUUGCAGGAAGGAGCAUAGGAGAAUAAAGGAUGGAACAAAGAAGAAAAAGAACAGCAAGUUACUCUGAGUAUUGUGGAAACAAACUGAAAUUAGAGUGAGAGAGAGAGAGAAAAAAAAAGAAGGUCCGAGCAAUCUCAGAUAUAUGAGAGGCCAAGAUGGGAAGAUCACUUGGGUAAGACUGGGAAGAUUGAGUCUGCAGUGAGUCACAGUCGCAUCAUUCUGCUGGAUUUGAAUGGUACUGCUUCUGGCCCAAGUUGUCUGGGCAACCUUAGACAUGGCUGGAAACACUCUUUUUGUAGAACAUACAAAUGGACAUUUCUAAGCACAUUGAGGCCUAUAAUGAAAAAUCAAAUAUCCCACAAUGAAAACUAGAAGGAAGCUAUCUGUGAUAAUGCUUUGUGGUGUAUGGAUUCAUCUCACUGACUGAAACCUGAGUUUUGAUUCACCAGAAUCUAUGCAGGGACAUUUUUGUGCUCAUUGAGGCCUACUGUGAAAAACCAAACAUCAGGGGUGGAGCCAAAAAAGCCAAAUAGGAACAGCUCCAGUCUACAGCUCCCAGCAUGAGCCACACAGAAGAUGGAUGAUUUCUGCAUUUCCAACUGAGGUACCAGGUUCAUCUCACUGGGGAGUGUUGGAAAGUGGGUUCAGGACAGUGGGUGCAGGACACCGAGCAUGAGCCAAAAGAGGGUGAGGCAUCACCUCACCUGGGAAGCACAAGGGGUCAGGGAAUUCACUUUCCUAGUCAAAGAAAGUGGUGACAGAUGGCACCUGGAAAAUCAGGUCACUCCCACCAUAAUACUGCACUUUUCCAAUGGUCUUAGCAAAUGGCACACCAGGAGAUUAUAUCCCUUGCAUGGCUUGGAGGGUUCUACACCCAUGGAGCCUUGCUUAUUGCUAGCACAGCAGUAUAAGAUCAAACUGCAAGGUGGCAGAGAGGCUUGGGGAGGGGCACCCACCAUUGCCGAGGCUUGAAUAGGUAAACAAAGUGGCUAGGAAGCUCGAACUUGGUGGAGCCCACCACAGCUCAAGGAGGCCUGCCUGCCUCUGUAGACUCCACCUCCGGGGGCAGGACAUAGCCAAACAAAAGGCAACAGAAACCUUUGCAGAUUUAAUUGUCCCUGUCUGACAGCUUUGAAGAGAGUAGUGGUUCUCCCAGCACGCAGCUGGAGAUCUGAGAAUGGAGAGAUUGCCUCCUCAAGUGGGUCCCUGAACCCCAAGUAGCAUAACUGGGAAGCACCCCCCAGUAGGGGCAGACUGACACCUCACAAGGCCGGGUACUCCUCUGAGACAAAACUUCCAGAGGAACAAUCAGGCAUCAACAUUUGCUGUUCACCAAUAUCCGCUGUUCUGCAGCCUUUGCUGCUGAUACCUAGGCAAAUAGGGUCUGGAGUGGACCUCCAGCAAACUCCAACAGACCUGCAGCUGAGGGUCCUGACUGUUAGAAGGAAAACUAACAAACAGAAAGGACAUCCACACAAAAACCCCAUCUGUACGUCACCAUCAUUGAAGACCAAAGGUAGAAAAAACCACAAAAAUGGGGAAUAAAACAGAAAAGAAAAACUGGAAACUCUAAAAAUUAGAGUGCCUCUCCUCCUCCAAAGGAAUGCAGCUCCUCACCAGCAAUGAAACAAAGCUGGAUGGAGAAUGACUUUGACGACUUGAGAGAAGAAGGCUUCAGAUGAUCAAACUAUUCUGAGCUAAAAGAGAAAGUUCGAACCCAUGGCAAAGAAGUUAAAAACCUUGAAAAAAAGUUAGAUGAAUAGCUAACUAGAAUAGCCAAUGCAGAGAAGUCCUUAAAGGACUUGAUGGAGCUGAAAACCAAGGCACGAGAAAUACAUGAUGAAUGCACAAGCCUCAGUAACCAAUUCGAUCAACUGGAAGAAAGGGUAUCAGUGAUGGAAGAUCAAAUGAAUGAAAUGAAGUGAGAAGAGAAGCUUAUAGAAAAAAGAAUAAAAAGAAAUGAACAAAGCCUUCAAGAAAUAUGGGACUAUGUAAAAACCCCAAAUCUACAUCGGAUUGUUGUAUCCGAAAGUGACAGGGAGAAUGGAACCAAGUUGGAAAACACUCUGCGGGAUAAUAUCCAGGAGAAUUUCCCCAAUCUAGCAAGGCAGGCCAACAUUCAAAUUCAGGAAAUAACAGAGAAUGCUACAAAGAUACUCCUCGAGAAGAGCAACUCCAAGACACAUAAUUGUCAGAUUCGCCAAAUUUCAAAUGAAGGAAAAAAUGUUAAGGAUAGCCAGAGAGAAAGGUCGGGUUACCCACAAAGGGAAGCCCAUCGGACAAACAGCAGAUAUGUCAGUAGAAACUCUACAAGCCGGAAGAGAGUGGGGGCCAAUAUUCAACAUUCUUAAAGAACAGAAUUUUCAACGCAGAAUUUCAUAUACAGUCAAACUAAGCUUCAUAAGUGAAGGAGAAAUAAAAUGCUUUACAGACAAGCAAAUGCUGAGAGAUUUCGUCACCACCAGGCCUUCCCUAAAAGAGCUCCUGAAGGAAGCACUAAACAUGGAAAGGAACAACUGAUACCAGCCACUGCAAAAACAGGCCAAAUUGUAAAGACCAUUGAGGCUAGGAAGAAACUGCAUCACCUAAUGAGCAAAAUAGCCAGCUAACAUCAUAAUGACAGGAUCAAACUCACACGUAACAAUAUUAACCUUAAAUGCAAAUGGGCUAAAUGCUCCAAUUAAAAGACACAGACUGGCAAAUUGGAUAAAAGGUCAGGAGCUAUCAGUAUGCUGUAUUCAGGAAACACAUCUCACAUACAGAGACACACAUAGGCUUAAAAUAAAGGGAUGGAGGAAGAUCUACCAAGAAAAUGGAAAACAUAAAAAGGCAGGAAUUGCAAUCCUAGUCUCUGAUAAAACAGAAUUUAAACCAACAAAGAUCAAAAGAGACAAAGAAGGCCAUUAUAUAAUGGUAAAGGGAUCAAUUCAACAAGAAGAGCUAACUAUCCUAAAUAUAUAUGCACCCAAUACAGGAGCACCCAGAUUCAUAAAGCAAGUCCUUAGAGACCUACAAAGAGACUUAGACUCCCACACAGUAAUAAUGGGAGACUUUAACACCCCACUGUCAACAUUAGACAGAUCAACGAGACAGAAAGUUAGCAAGGAUAUCCAGGAACUGAACUCAGCUCUGCACCAAGUGGACCUAAUAGAUAUCUACAGAACUCUCCACCCCAAAUCAACAGAAUAUAAAUUCUUUUCAGCACCACACCACACUUAUUCCAAAAUUGACCACAUAGUUGGAAGUAAAGCACUCUUCCGCAAAUGUAAAAGGACAGAAAUUAUAACAAAAUGUCUCUCAGACCACAGUGCAAUCAAACUAGAACGCAGGAUUAAGAAACUCACUGAAAACCGCUCAAUGACAUGGAAACUGAACAACCUGCUCCUGAGUGACUACUGGGUACAUAACGAAAUGGAGGCAGAAAUAAAGAUGUUCUUUGAAACCAAGGAGAACAAAGACACAACAUACCAGAAUCUCUGGGACGCAUUCAAAGCAGUGUGUAGAGGGAAAUUUAUAGCACUAAACGCCCACAAGAGAAAGUAGGAAAGAUCUAAAAUUGACACCCUAACAUCACAAUUAAAAGAACUAGAGAAGCAAGAGCAAACACAUUCAAAAUCUAGCAGAAGGCAAGAACAACUAAGAUCAGAGUAGAGCUGAAGGAAAUAGACACGCAAAAAACCCUUCAAAAAAUCAAUGAAUC